AUGGGACAAUCCCAAAGGGUCAGAGGGACAAUCCCAAGGGAUCCAUGGGACAAUCCCAAAGGGUCGGAGGGACAAUCCCAAAGGGUCAGAGGGACAAUUCCCAAGGUUUCCAUGGGACAAUUCCCAAAGGGUCAGAGGGACAAUCCCAAGGGAUCCAUGGGACAAUCCCAUAGGAUCGGAGGGUCCCUCUUACCAGGGGGUCCGCAGGGGCCGGAGCUGAGCGAGUCCAUGCUCUUGGCCGGCCGCAGACUGACCUUCCCGCACUUCUCCUCUGGGAAUGGGGGUGGGAGAAUGGGAUUGGGGUGGAGUUGGGGACACGACACCCCCUCCCCCCCCAAUCCAUGGGAUCCCCCUGGAAUUCUCACCUUUCUCCUCCGCCUUCCCCGGCUUCCGCUUGGCCUCGUGCCCAGAGCGGCCCAGGUUGAAGAUGGAUCUCCACUUCUUGGCCUUGAGGGAGCCCUUGCGCCUGCGGGGACACCUGGGAUGCACCUGGGCACACCUGGGGGCACCUGGGCACACCUGGGGGCACCUGGGCACACCUGGGGGCACCUGGGCACACCUGGGGGCACCUGGAUACACCUGAGCACACCUGGGGGCACCUGGGCACACCUGGGGGCACCUGGGCACACCUGGGGGUGCCUGGAUACACCUGGGGCACACCUGGGGGCAUCUGGGCACACCUGGGGCACACCUGGGGGCACCUGGAUACACCUGGGGCACACCUGGGGCACACCUGGGGGCAUCUGGGCACACCUGGGAUACACCUGGGCACACCUGGGCACACGUGGAGGCACCUGGAUACACGUGGGGACACGUGGGCACACCUGGGGGCACUUGGAUACACCUGGGCUCACCUGGGGACACCUGGGCACACCUGGGGGUGCCUGGGAUACAGCUGGGGGCACCUGGAUACACCUGGGGAUACACCUGGGGACACCUGGGCACACCUGGGAUACACCUGGGCACACCUGGGGGCAUCUGAGCACACCUGGGGGCACCUGGAUACACCUGGGCUCACCUGGGGGCACCUGGAUACGCCUGAAGACACCUGGGAUACACCUGGGAUACACCUGGGCUCACCUGGGGGCACCUGGGCACACCUGGGAUACACCUGGGAUACACCUGGGCUCACCUGGGGGCACCUGGGCACACCUGGGGCACACCUGGGCACACCUGGGGUACACCUGUGCUACACCUGUGCACACUUGGGGCACACCUGGGCACACCUGGGGCACACCUGGGGCACACCUGGAUCAUGCCCUGGUAGGACCACCCGAGCCACGCCCCAGCUGGGGGUUCCCUGGGGGUCCCCGGGGUGGGCUGGGGGUGUCACCUGUCCCUGUCCCCAGGUGUCCCCAGGGUGGGGUGGAGGUGUCACCUGUCCCUGUCCCCAGGUGA
Molecule: long non-coding RNA, 1398 nt
Filed under: Corvus moneduloides (New Caledonian crow)
Lineage: Eukaryota; Metazoa; Chordata; Aves; Passeriformes; Corvidae
Description: lncRNA (ENSCMUG00000018242.1)
Source: RNAcentral